UACGUAUGGAGCAAGCGUUAUCCGGAUUUACUGGGUGUAAAGGGUGCGUAGGCGGCAGGGCAAGUCAGAUGUGAAAGACCGGGGCUUAACUCCGGGGCUGCAUUUGAAACCGCUUUGCUUGAGUCCGGGAGAGGCAGGCGGAAUUCCUAGUGUAGCGGUGAAAUGCGUAGAUAUUAGGAGGAACACCAGUGGCGAAGGCGGCCUGCUGGACCGGAACUGACGCUGAGGCACGAAAGCGUGGGAGCAAACAGG
RNAcentral lists this ribosomal RNA (252 nucleotides) under uncultured bacterium. Its description in RNAcentral is "partial 16S ribosomal RNA". It matches the Rfam family "Bacterial small subunit ribosomal RNA", at positions 524 to 776 of the family's 1533-position model. The record is from RNAcentral.